CGUAGGAGGCAAGCGUUAUCCGGAUUCACUGGGCGUAAAGCGCGUGCAGGCGGUGCGGUAAGUUGGGCGUGAAAUCUCCCGGCUCAACUGGGAGAGGUCGUCCAAUACUACCGUACUCGAGAGCAGAAGAGGAAGAUGGAAUUCCCGGUGUAGUGGUGAAAUGCGUAGAUAUCGGGAGGAACACCAGUGGCGAAGGCGAUCUUCUGGUCUGUUUCUGACGCUCAGACGCGACAGCUAGGGUAGUAAACGGGAUUAGAGACCCCGGUAAUCCUAGCCGUAAACGAUGUGAACUUGGCGUUGGUGGGUUAAACUCCAUCAGUGCCGUAGCAAACGCGAUAAGUUCACCGCCUGGGGACUACGGCCGCAAGGUUA
RNAcentral lists this ribosomal RNA (372 nucleotides) under uncultured organism. RNAcentral's name for it is "bacterial SSU rRNA". It matches the Rfam family "Bacterial small subunit ribosomal RNA", at positions 526 to 896 of the family's 1533-position model. The record is from RNAcentral.